GUCGGCCUACUGACGCCUUGUUGUUUUACCGACAUAAGCAAUUCUUUAUCUCUCGCUUCUUCGUAUAUGACACCCAAGAUCCAGGUAUACGAACGCAAGCUCCGUUGUUAAUCUCAAUAUCAACAUCCAUCAAGAAGAAGCUGCAUCUUCACGUAGACCAGCAUCUGACGUACAGCGAUGAGGAGGGUAUAAAAGGAUCUGUAUUACUAGGCCUGACUCAUUUUUUCAUUGCGAAACCUCGUAUGUGUCGCUAUUUUCAUUGCGUUGUCAAUUCUUAGGGUUACCAUUGUUAAUAUAUCUUACAGCAUAUAAGAUUUGUAAUAAUCAUAUCAGUUUUGGAUUCUUUAUUAUUGAAUAUAAGGAUUUUAAUAUAAGUUUUUGUUAAUAGUUGAAGAUACUAUUCAGACGACGAAGUAGAGAUAAAUAGAAAUUAUAAAUUUAGUGCUCGUAAAUUUGAGUUGCAAAGAGGACCACCUCGUAACUCUUGAAUGACAGAAGUGAGGAGAUCCGCACGCUGUGGAAACAAUUCUGUACCUUAGUUUUAGUUAUUACUAAUAGCCCAAUGUCGCAGACGCAUUACAUCGAUCGUAAGAGUCAGUUGCGGAAACCUGAACUGUGGGAGAGCCACCCAGAAUAACUGAGGACACAUAUCGUCACACCCGUCGUAGUCCAUCGAUGCACACCCGAGUCUUCCAGACCUCAAGGAUUUCUGCAUACACGAUCCGGCAAACGACAUAAAUCUUCGGCAUCGCCAAGCUAUAUUUCACGGCUAUUAUGGCGUGAAUAUAUAGGCUCUAUGCUACGUUUUUCGAUAAAAUAAUGGUUAAAUUGAUCAAAUAAAUUUUUACCCUAAAGUCUCGA
Long non-coding RNA from Bombus terrestris (buff-tailed bumblebee), 861 nucleotides. RefSeq lists it as uncharacterized. The transcript has 2 exons. Lineage: Eukaryota; Metazoa; Arthropoda; Insecta; Hymenoptera; Apidae. The record is from RefSeq and is a predicted model, not a curated record.